RNAcentral lists this ribosomal RNA (459 nucleotides) under uncultured bacterium. RNAcentral's name for it is "partial 16S ribosomal RNA". It matches the Rfam family "Bacterial small subunit ribosomal RNA", at positions 338 to 795 of the family's 1533-position model. The record is from RNAcentral.
CCUACGGGAGGCAGCAGUGAGGAAUAUUGGUCAAUGGGCGCGAGCCUGAACCAGCCAAGUCGCGUGAGGGAAGACGGCCCUACGGGUUGUAAACCUCUUUUGCCGGGGAGCAACGGGCGCCACGUGUGGCGCCACUGAGAGUACCCGGAGAAAAAGCAUCGGCUAACUCCGUGCCAGCAGCCGCGGUAAUACGGGGGAUGCGAGCGUUAUCCGGAUUUAUUGGGUUUAAAGGGUGCGUAGGGGGAGCGUUAAGUCAGGGGUCAAAUUGAGGGGCUCAACCCCUUCCCGCCAUUGAAACUGGCGCUCUUGAGUGGAAGAGAAGUAUGCGGAAUGCGGGGUGUAGCGGUGAAAUGCAUAGAUACCACGCAGAACCCCGAUUGCGAAGGCAGCUUACUAAACUGCCACUGACAUUGAUGCUCGAAAGUGGGGGUAUCAAACAGGAUUAGAUACCCCAUAGUC